AAUAAAAGUGGAUAGGUAAAAUAUGAAAAUCAUAUAAAUCACAGUUCGUCCAAAAUUAAUUCAAGCCAAAUUUUAAGUCGAUAAAGCGACCACGCUAGAAUCACUGGACUCGGAGAAUGCCUUAUACUUUCUCACCGGCCAACAGAAUUUCUUACCCGGACUUUGUUUUCGCAGACCAAUAAUGAAAGAGCCAAAUCUUCCUUUGACUAGGGAUUCACAUAUAAGGUGAGGUGGAACACUGAAAUAUCAAUUUCAAGUGGCGACUCUGUAAAUAAAAUAAUCCCUACUCAUAUUCAUCAUUUCAAUUGAAAAAUUUUUUAACCGACAAAUCCACACAAUCAAUAACACAUAUCUUAUUUGCGGGGGUAGAAAAGGAGUGUGACAGCUCUAGGACUCUGCUAGGGACUACUAGAAUUCGAGCUU
RNAcentral lists this long non-coding RNA (423 nucleotides) under Nicotiana benthamiana. RNAcentral describes it as "long non-coding RNA (NBEN_LNC042420)". The record is from RNAcentral. Lineage: Eukaryota; Viridiplantae; Streptophyta; Magnoliopsida; Solanales; Solanaceae.